RNAcentral lists this ribosomal RNA (253 nucleotides) under uncultured bacterium. Its description in RNAcentral is "partial 16S ribosomal RNA". It matches the Rfam family "Bacterial small subunit ribosomal RNA", at positions 524 to 776 of the family's 1533-position model. The record is from RNAcentral.
UACGAAGGGUGCUAGCGUUGUUCGGAAUCAUUGGGCGUAAAGCGUGCGUAGGCGGCUUAGCAAGUCAGCUGUGAAAGCCCGGGGCUUAACCCCGGAAUUGCAGUUGAAACUGCUUCGCUAGAGUAUGAAGAGGGAUAGUGGAAUUCUUAGUGUAGGGGUGAAAUCCGUAGAUAUUAAGAGGAACACCGGUGGCGAAAGCGACUAUCUAUGUCAUUACUGACGCUGUUGCACGAAAGCGUGGGGAGCAAACAGG